RNAcentral lists this ribosomal RNA (798 nucleotides) under uncultured crenarchaeote. Its description in RNAcentral is "bacterial SSU rRNA". It matches the Rfam family "Archaeal small subunit ribosomal RNA", at positions 141 to 922 of the family's 1478-position model. The record is from RNAcentral. Lineage: Archaea; Thermoproteati; Thermoproteota.
UGGGGCUAAUCCCCGAUGGGUGAGAGGGCCUGGAAUGGUCUCUCNNUNNAAGGGCAUCGGGAUCAUGCUUCUCGGCGUCGCCCAAGGAUGGGACCGCGUCCGAUCAGGUUGUUGGUGGGGUAACGGCCCACCAAGCCUAUAACCGGUACGGGCCCUGAGAGGGGGAGCCCGGAGAUGGGGACUGAGACAAGGCCCCAGGCCCUACGGGGUGCAGCAGGCGCGAAACCUCCGCAAUGCGCGAAAGCGUGACGGGGUUAUCCCGAGUGUCGUCCGCUGAGGAUGACUUUUUCCCAGUGUAAGGAACUGGGGGAAUAAGGGGAGGGCAAGUCUGGUGUCAGCCGCCGCGGUAAUACCAGCUCCCCGAGUGGUGGGGACGAUUACUGGGCCUAAAGCGUUCGUAGCCGGCUUGGCAAGUCUUCCGUUAAAUCUGAUGAUUUAAUCGUUGGACCGCGGGAGAUACUACCAAGCUAGGGGGCGGGAGAGGCCGGCGGUAGUCCCGGGGUAGGGGUGAAAUCCUAUAAUCCCGGGAGGACCACCAGUGGCGAAGGCGGCCGGCCAGAACGCGCCCGACGGUGAGGGACGAAAGCUGGGGGAGCAAACCGGAUUAGAUACCCGGGUAGUCCCAGCCGUAAACGAUGCGGGCUAGGUGUUGGAACGGCUACGUGCCGUUCCAGUGCCGCAGGGAAGCUAUUAAGCCCGCCGCCUGGGAAGUACGGCCGCAAGGCUGAAACUUAAAGGAAUUGGCGGGGGAGCACCACAAGGGGUGAAGCCUGCGGUUUAAUUGGNUUCNACGCCGGA